Non-coding RNA from Candidatus Shapirobacteria bacterium CG2_30_35_20, 72 nucleotides. The record is from Rfam. Lineage: Bacteria; Candidatus Shapironibacteriota.
AGGCCUAUAGUGAAAUGGUUAUCACUGGGAUCUCCAAAAUCUCCAUUUGAGGUUCAAAUCCUCAUAGGCCUG